GGAGACUGCCGGUGAUAAACCGGAGGAAGGUGGGGACGACGUCAAGUCAUCAUGGCCCUUACGAGUAGGGCUACACACGUGCUACAAUGGCGCAUACAGAGGGCGGCCAACUUGCGAAAGUGAGCGAAUCCCAAAAAGUGCGUCGUAGUCCGGAUUGGAGUCUGCAACUCGACUCCAUGAAGUCGGAAUCGCUAGUAAUCGUGGAUCAGAAUGCCACGGUGAAUACGUUCCC
RNAcentral lists this ribosomal RNA (232 nucleotides) under Vibrio parahaemolyticus. RNAcentral describes it as "partial 16S ribosomal RNA". It matches the Rfam family "Bacterial small subunit ribosomal RNA", at positions 1144 to 1375 of the family's 1533-position model. The record is from RNAcentral. Lineage: Bacteria; Pseudomonadati; Pseudomonadota; Gammaproteobacteria; Vibrionales; Vibrionaceae.